This 558-nucleotide long non-coding RNA is filed under the name Mustela putorius furo (domestic ferret). RNAcentral describes it as "lncRNA (ENSMPUG00000027734.1)". Lineage: Eukaryota; Metazoa; Chordata; Mammalia; Carnivora; Mustelidae. The record is from RNAcentral.
AGACUGAUAUCCUAGCACAUUUUCUGCCUUAGAUCAAUACCAAAGGAUUUUUUUCCCCUGAUGACAUGUUUUCAAAACCAUGAAGAUAAUAUUAGGACAGAAACAAAGUAAUUAUUUUUAGCAAAACUUCCAAAUUACCAAAUGAUUAUUUCAUAACUCGACUUGACUCUACAGCUUCACAAAGCCAACACAGAAGAAAAGCUUACUCUUCAGAUAUUACAUGCCAUAGACAAGCAUACAUCAUCUUACUACACGUCACUUCAUUGUUCUUCACAGAGCCUGCAUUUUACAUAUUGAAGGACUGUGGGACCCUGCCUGAGUAGGCCUCCUGGUGCCGUUUCACCAACAGCAUCUGCUUACCUUGCGUCUCUGUCACCUUUUGGAAGGUACCAUGGCCGACCGAACCUUCAGGAAGCGCCACCCUGGUCAGUCAGUAACCAUCGACAUCACGGCAAGAUCCUCCACCAGCGAAAAGAUGACAAUUUCCUGAAAGCUCAGAUGUUGGUUAGCAUUUUUAGCAAUCCUCUGGAAAGGAACUCCACUCUGCCAACAUCUUGA